UGCGGAAUUUUAGAUAAUGGAGGGAACUCUGAUCUAGCGACGCCGAGUGCAGGAAGAAGGUCUUCGGGUUGUAAACUGCUGUGGUAAGGGAAAAAUGCUAUGUAGAGUGGAAAGCUACAUAGAGGGAUGGUACCUUACUAGAAAGCCCCGGCUAACUACGUGCCAGCAGCCGCGGUAAUACGUAGGGGGGGAGGGUACCCGGGAUUACCUGGGCGUAAAGGGAGCGUAGGUGGCCUAACAUGUCAACUGUGAAAACCCGGAGCUCAACUCCGGACUUGCAGUUGAAACUGGUAGGCUUGAGGACGGUAGAGGAAGACGGAACUGCCAGUGUAGGGGUAAAAUCCUUAGAUAUUGGCAGGAACGCCGGUGACGAAGGUGGUUUUCUGGGCCGGUUCUGACACUGAUGCUCGAAAGCCAGGGGAGCGAACG
This 429-nucleotide ribosomal RNA is filed under the name uncultured bacterium. RNAcentral's name for it is "bacterial SSU rRNA". It matches the Rfam family "Bacterial small subunit ribosomal RNA", at positions 355 to 774 of the family's 1533-position model. The record is from RNAcentral.